GUUCAAGAAAAACAGCUAAUUAAACAAAUCCAAAGAUAAACCACAGAAUAGGUGUGUCAGUAUCUUUAAAUUAGCUAUUUUGUAAUCACCUACUUAAAAUCAGUUGUAGUGGUAAAUAUGUAUAUCCAGCAAUUUGCAUUACAUUUACAUACAAAUAAGCAGAUUUCAGUAAGGGUUGAAGCCACACUGCAAGCGUUUCCAG
This is a non-coding RNA of Pelobates cultripes (western spadefoot toad), 202 nucleotides long. The record is from the annotation of a GenBank genome assembly. NCBI's taxonomy places the organism in Eukaryota, Metazoa, Chordata, Amphibia, Anura, Pelobatidae.